GCGAGGGUGGCGGAAUUGGCAGACGCGCUGGAUUUAGGAUCCAGUUCCGUUUAGGAAUGGGGGUUCAAAUCCCCCUCCUCGCA
RNAcentral lists this transfer RNA (83 nucleotides) under bacterium. RNAcentral describes it as "tRNA-Leu". It matches the Rfam family "tRNA". Rfam says of the family: Transfer RNA (tRNA) molecules are approximately 80 nucleotides in length. Their secondary structure includes four short double-helical elements and three loops (D, anti-codon, and T loops). RNAcentral also lists the same sequence under 3 other names. The record is from RNAcentral.